CCUACGGGUGGCAGCAGUGAGGAAUAUUGGUCAAUGGUCGGGAGACUGAACCAGCCAAGCCGCGUGAGGGAUGAAGGUACAGAGUAUCGUAAACCUCUUUUGUCAGGGAACAAAGGCGGGGACGCGUCCCCGGAUGAGUGUACCUGAAGAAAAAGCAUCGGCUAACUCCGUGCCAGCAGCCGCGGUAAUACGGAGGAGGCGAGCGUUAUCCGGAUUUAUUGGGUUUAAAGGGUGCGCAGGCGGGCUGUUAAGUCAGCGGUAAAAGCCCGGGGCUCACCCCCGGCCCGCCGUUGAAACUGGCAGUCUCGAGUUGGAGAGAAGUAUGCGGAAUGCGCGGUGUAGCGGUGAAAUGCAUAGAUAUCGCGCAGAACUCCGAUUGCGAAGGCAGCAUGCCGGCUCCACACUGACGCUGAGGCACGAAAGCGUGGGUAUCGAACAGGAUUAGAUACCCCAGUAGUC
RNAcentral lists this ribosomal RNA (459 nucleotides) under uncultured bacterium. RNAcentral's name for it is "partial 16S ribosomal RNA". It matches the Rfam family "Bacterial small subunit ribosomal RNA", at positions 338 to 795 of the family's 1533-position model. The record is from RNAcentral.